This 505-nucleotide ribosomal RNA is filed under the name uncultured Desulfobulbus sp. RNAcentral's name for it is "bacterial SSU rRNA". It matches the Rfam family "Bacterial small subunit ribosomal RNA", at positions 903 to 1382 of the family's 1533-position model. Lineage: Bacteria; Pseudomonadati; Thermodesulfobacteriota; Desulfobulbia; Desulfobulbales; Desulfobulbaceae. The record is from RNAcentral.
GCCAGCCCGCUCAAGAAACUUAAAGGAAUUGAUGGGGCCCGCACAAGCGGUGGAGUAUGUGGUUUAAUUCGAUGCAACGCGAAGAACCUUACCUGGUCUUGACAUCCCGGAGACCCUUAGGAAACUAGGGGGUGCUUCCAUCUGGAAGAAUCUGGAGACAGGUGCUGCAUGGCUGUCGUCAGCUCGUGUCGUGAGAUGUUGGGUUAAGUCCCGCAACGAGCGCAACCCUUGCCUUUAGUUGCCAGCAGUUCGGCUGGGCACUCUAAAGGGACUGCCGGUGUUAAACCGGAGGAAGGUGGGGAUGACGUCAAGUCCUCAUGGCCUUUAUGACCAGGGCUACACACGUACUACAAUGGCCGAUACAAAGGGCAGCGACACUGCGAGGUGAAGCCAAUCCCGUAAAAUCGGUCUCAGUCCGGAUUGGAGUCUGCAACUCGACUCCAUGAAGUUGGAAUCGCUAGUAAUCGUGGAUCAGCAUGCCACGGUGAAUACGUUCCCGGGCCUU